Molecule: ribosomal RNA, 284 nt
Filed under: Anopheles vaneedeni
Lineage: Eukaryota; Metazoa; Arthropoda; Insecta; Diptera; Culicidae
Description: partial 28S ribosomal RNA
Rfam family: Eukaryotic large subunit ribosomal RNA
Source: RNAcentral
GUGCAGAAGAGCUGCCGGUAUAUUAUAACCAUUAAACCCACAGGCGAAGACAACUCGAUUGUCACGGGAUUACGGGCACGGAUGGGGCGCAACGUAAUAGAACCGAGCCCCUCCAUCCCAGGGUGCUCCGUCACGGGUGCUUGCAGCGGGCAUCCCCGGAGUGCGCAGGAUGUGACCCGAAAGAUGGUGAACUAUGCUUGAUCAGGUCGAAGUCAGGGGAAACCCUGAUGGAGGACCGAAGCAAUUCUGACGUGCAAAUCGAUUGUCAGAGUUGAGCAAUGGGG